RNAcentral lists this ribosomal RNA (489 nucleotides) under uncultured eukaryote. RNAcentral describes it as "bacterial SSU rRNA". It matches the Rfam family "Eukaryotic small subunit ribosomal RNA", at positions 727 to 1139 of the family's 1831-position model. The record is from RNAcentral.
GCGGGACGGGGCCGCCCCGCGAGGGACGGCGCCGCCCCGGGGCUCGUGAUAUCUUAUCUCGCCGCCCGUCGCGAGGCGGACGGAGGGAUGGAUGAGGUUACCUGGAAAAAAUCGGGGCGAUCUAGGCGGGCGAACCUCGCCAACGAACGAUCGGACAUGGGAUAACGGAAGAGGGCGUCGGCUCGACUUCGUCGGUUCCUCGGGCCGAGGCACGUACGGUGAAUAGGGACGGUCGGGGCCGCCCGUACCGGGUCGUGAGAGGUGAAAUUCUAGGAUCGACCCGAGACGAACUGCCGCGAAAGCAUUCGGCAAGGACGCUUUCAUUAAUCAAGAACGAAAGUCGGGGGAUCGAAGACGAUCAGAUACCGUCGUAGUCCCGACCGUAAACGAUGCCGACCGAGGCCCGGAGGAGUUACGUACGACCCUCCGGGCCCUCCCGCGAGAAAUCAGGAGUAUUCGGGUUCCGGGGGGAGUAUGGUCGCAAGGCCG